AGUAUCAUAGUAAUUGGAUAAAUAUGAAUUAUUUUGGAGUGGGUGUCUGGAAUAGGUAGGCUAACGGACUCCCAUGGCUUUGAAUAUCUACGUGAUCCACGCUCUGACCACUGGCGUUCAGCCACGAGCUGUUAAAGACCAGGGUUUAAUGACGAGGACAGCAGCCUUUGGGUUUCUGCUCUAGCAGAAAUACAAAAACGUUUCAUCUUCUAGGAAAAAAAACAAAACAAACAAACAACAACAACAACAACAAAAAAAAAAAACAUAAAAACAAACGUCCCGUCAACUUUAUGGAGAAGAACACACACGGAACCUAGCGGUUCCAGACGACUUGAAGCAGCAGCUGCCGUAGCCUGGGGUGGAUAUUUGUGGAUUGGAGGUAAGUUUAAAAGGUUUGAAUUAACCCAAAUCUGCAAAAUAAGGCCUGCUUAAUUAUCCGUUUUUAUACGUUAUUGGAAAGACGAGUUCUUUGCGCAUCACGCUUGCUUUGCGCGCACCAGUGCACCGUGCACGUACACGCACGGCGCAGACAGUUUGAGGAAUAGUUGUAAAUGUGAGCGCAGCAGCAGAGUCAUUGGAUUUCAUAGAAACUGUACCGGCAAGAGACUUUUUUUUAAUUUAUUUUAUUUUUUGGUUAUUAGUUUCCACAGAGACUUUGUCCUUCUUUCGUCAUGUAGCAGUCGUCUCACCUCCUCCUUACUCCUUCUCCUCCUCCUCUUGUCCUCUGCAGUGUGUUUUUACCUCUGAAUCUGAUCUUUUGUUUGCCUGCCGGAUCAGCUUCUUUGUUCAUGCAUUGCUGCAUUUGACUAUUCAGAAUCCAAUAUGGCACAUUAACAUGAUUUACAUUUUAGGGACAAUGUUGUUAAGAAAAACUGCAGUAACGCCGAUAUCACGUCACUGUGCGUGGUUUAAGUUGUUAAAAAAUUGAAACGUAUAAAGUGUGAAAUUUAACGAAAUAAAAACCGUGUCUACAGCAGAACAAAAAAAAAAAAAAAUGGUCUCCGCGUCUGUAGAAGAUGCCAAAACACACACGACACGAGCAUGAAAGUAUGUAAUGCAAAUCUAUCCACUGAAUAUGCAUCAAUAUUAAAAAUUAUACGCACACCACCAGAGCCAACGGCGCCGCAGAUUUGAGAAUGGCAGAGAGCGGGUCCGUCUCAUUACGCAUGGGCGGUUUUUCCACGCAGGAGCCACGGUUCCCCUUCUCUCCGUGAAUACACGUCUCCCUUCCGUCCCGUUCACCUUAACGAAGCAUCUUGAAGGGGAGAAAAAUGAGAAGAAAAAAAAAAAUACAAAGACUGCAUAUCAUGGCUUUCAGAACGGCAAUCAAACACCCAAGAAGUAGCUGUGGCUGGGGGGAAAUUACACUCCGACUGCGCCAGGGCGGACCGUGUAGCCCAGUAAGCGGGAUUUGCAUAUUUUGAUGCGCUAAUUGUCUUCAUAUAUUUAAAUAUGGCUGCACGUAGCUGAUAUGCUUGUCUACGUCAUUGAACGUGCCCUCGCUGUUAAACUAAAACGUGAAUCCGCUUGAAUGUAAUGGAUACGCCUGCAAUUAGGCGAAAAGGAAGGAGGGAGGGAGUGAUGAUGGGAAGGAGGUGAAUGGGAGAGGAUGCUUUGUGCCUCAUUUACAUUUGUAAUUUUCUCUCUAAUAAUAAUGUGACAUUUAGUGAUUUCCGGUCUGCUGAAACAUUAAAAUAAGAAAAAAUAACAACAAGUAAUAACAAUGGCUGGGAAAUAAGAAAUAAAGGUAACAAAACAAUGUGAUUGAUUUAAAAAAAAGUCAUUUUUGCAGAUAUUUUCUUGCAAAAUACAAUUACUAUUAAAAGGCACUUACAACAGUAAAUACAAGUGUGUUGUCACUAUAAGAAUCCUCCUCCUUAACUUAUAUAAUGUUUCCAACACUUUGUCUUCUAUUUAAGGUCAUUUCAACAACUGUUAAACACCUAAACACUAACAUCAGGGUUUAUUAGAUCCUACAUAGUUCUAUGGAAUAUUUAACCAAGUUCUUAUGAGGCAGAAUCUCAUUUCUCUGCCGAUAAUUAAAGUUUGGAUGAAGAUGAGAAUUGCUGUUUCGUCAGAUUUAGGCAUGAUGUGAGGGUUAGGGCAAAGAUUUUGGUUCUAUGGAGUUUAAAGGUCAACACAGUUUUAGUGUGUGUGUGUUUGUUUUCUUGUACCAAUGAUGUGCGUGUGUGAGAGAGAAAGUCUUAUAUUGGAGAGGUCACGUGAAGUUGUGUUUAAUUAGACAGAGGGGUCAUUUCACAGGUGUGCUUGGCUUGUGUAUGGGCCCACACACACGAGAGAGAGCGAGAGAGAGAUCAAAUCAAAAACAUUUAGACAGAAGUUUCGAUGCACCGUUUCCCCCUGCUCCUCUCUUUUCAUUAUUGACCCCAUUCUGGACGUAGUUGGGGAAUUGUGCGCAGCAAAUCAUUUUCCCCUCUGUCCGCAAAACCGGUAAAUGCGUCCCGUUUGUCAAAACGCGUUAGCCAAGCGCCUGCAGCAAAUUCAUUACCACCCAACUGCGAGGGUUGACUUCGUAACCUGGUCAGGGAGGAGAAGGAGGGAGGUGAGGUACGGAGGGAGACACAGGGAGACUUGGAGGUAGAGAGGGAGGUACUGGGAGGGUAUAGGAGAGCGGUCCACCACGCCAAAAAAAAAAACAGCCCUGAACAAUGCUUCCUCAGUUCGUGCGUGCAACAAAAGAACCGAGGGAACUUGUUUGAAUUUCCGAGCACGUCCUCCUCUCCUCCCCCAUCAUCGCAUCAUCAUCACCCCCAUCAUCCGACCGUCCCACCAACAGGAGGAAGUAGAAAACAAACUUGCCCACUAUGAGCCCAAAGUGUCCACGCACCUUUCUUUUUGGUGCGUAUGUAUGGACGUUAUGGGAAAGUUGUCUCCCUCCCAUCUUCCCUCCCUCUCUACUUUCCUCCCUCCUUCUCUCCCCCCUCGUCCUUCUGCUUCUCUUCAUCUAUCAUGUGCUUGGGAUGUCCGUCGUGCUUUGCACAGAGCAGCUGUAGCACGCCUAUAAUGCGGGCUUACCGAGUGUUAGCGGCAAUUUUAAAGUGAUGCGCCCCCUCUGCCGCCCUUCAAACCAAUGAAUACAUGCGGCUGCAUGGGAUAUCUGAAAGGGUGGGAAACCUAUACCACACACAGCACGGCACGGCGCGACACGGCAAGGCACGGCAAGGCACGGCAGACACGGAACAAAGUGAGAGAACCGUGCCAGUCUCCUGCUCACGGGACGCUCUGUGGUCGGUUGCAGAGAUUUUGGGGACUCACCUUUGUGAGAAAUGAUGGAGAUAGAUAGCAGUGAUGGACUACAGGUAGCACACUAUGUUGGUCAACACUGGACCUCUUGGAUAUUGCAAUUGACUGGACCCACGUAAGGUUGCCCAGAUGCCUGAUCGGUUGUGACCUAGAAACAAAUGGUGUAACGACUGGAUUCUCCAGGCUAAAGUCAUCAAUAAUAUUCAAUGGAUAUCAGAGGUAGAAGAUUUCCAGUGAUUGUAAAGGAGCGAAUCUGGAUGUCACGCAGAGAACACCACUACUUCCAGGAGCAUCAUUACUAUCCUGUUUGUCUCCUGUGAACCUGACUUUUAUAAAAAAAAUAUUAGAAGUAUUAGAAGAAGAAAGAAGUAUUUUCCCCCUUUAUAUAGAUGAUGCUUAUCAUAAUCAUUACCUGGAAAAAGUAUUCUUUCAAAUAGGAUUUUCAUAAGAACAAUGAAUUCUCACCAAAUUCACACACCCACUCACACUGUGCAGAUGAUCGUAUUUCUGAUGAUGAUUUCAUAUUGUCUUUGCAAAUUCAUGUACUUUUGUAAAAAAAAAUGCAUAAUUUGAAGUACUUAAGUAAUAUAUAUUUGCUGUGUUUAUUUUCUGUUUAAUGCAGAACACAAGUUUUUGGAAGAUUAAUUGUGAACAAAUCUGGUGUAAAAGUCAUAUAAUUCACUGCACAGCUGCCAGAAUUGAAACACAACUCCUGACAUGAAAUCCUUUUCACCCACGUUUUUAUGCUUCAUUAACCUUCAUUCAUUUUUAUGUUUCUCCAUUGUCUUGUCUUCUUCCUUAUCAUAUUAAUUCCCUGUCUCUUUCUACUUAACUUUCCGUUUCACCAUAUAUCUUGGUGCUUACCUCAUCCUCAUUUCCUCCACCAGCAUCACUCUUCCCGUCUUUCAGUUCUAUCUGUCCUACUCCACCCUUACCCAUUCUACUGUCAUAUCUACAGCAACUCCCCUUCUCCCUUCCCUCUUGUCUUUCUCUGCUUCUCAGAUGUCAGAUCAUAGUCUCCUCUUCCGCUUGCCCUGUCAUCACAUUUUUCACACAGUCCCAUACCGUAAUUGGGCCUGUAUCAUCAUAUCAUAUCAUGAAGAAUACCUGAUCACAGCCAGAGAUGAAAGAUAGCCUCCACCUCUCCACCUCAGAGACACACAGAGGCACUCACAUACGACGUGCCGACCCCAACAAACACACACACACACACACUUAUGUACUCCACACAGAGGCACGCUGCCACAAACA
Cynoglossus semilaevis (tongue sole) is the source of this 4515-nucleotide long non-coding RNA. RefSeq lists it as uncharacterized. The record is from RefSeq and is a predicted model, not a curated record. The transcript has 4 exons. Lineage: Eukaryota; Metazoa; Chordata; Actinopteri; Pleuronectiformes; Cynoglossidae.